Molecule: ribosomal RNA, 253 nt
Filed under: uncultured bacterium
Lineage: Bacteria
Description: partial 16S ribosomal RNA
Rfam family: Bacterial small subunit ribosomal RNA
Source: RNAcentral
UACGUAGGUGGCAAGCGUUGUCCGGAUUUAUUGGGUUUAAAGGGUGCGUAGGCGGUUUUGUAAGUCAGUGGUGAAAUACUCUAGCUUAACUAGAGGGGUGCCAAUGAUACUGCAGAACUUGAGUACAGAUGAGGUAGGCGGAAUUGACGGUGUAGCGGUGAAAUGCGUAGAUAUCGUAAGGAAGACCAGUGGCGAAGGCGAAUCUCUGGACAGUUACUGACACUGAGGCACGAAGGCCAGGGGAGCAAACAGG